ACUAUAGGAGACUUAAUGACUUGAUAGUUAAAGAUAUGUUUCCAAUCCCUAUUAUUGAUGACUUGCUAGAUGAAAUAAAUGAGAUUGUUAUCUUUUCUAAGAUAGAUUUAAGGGUGAGUUACCAUCAAAUAAGGACGAAGGUUGAAGAUAUCCCUAAGACUGCCUUUAGGACACACCAAGGGAAUUUUGAAUUCAAAGGGAUGUCCUUUGGGCUCACCAAUGCUCCUGCUACCUUCCAAGCCUAAUGAGUCACAUUUUCCAACCUCUUUUUAGGAAAUUUUUUUUUAUUUUCUUUGAUGAUAUAUCGGUUUAUAGAAACGACAGUCAUUUGGAGCACUUGGAACAACUAUUGAUGGAAAUCAACAAGAACA
This 371-nucleotide unclassified non-coding RNA is filed under the name Hevea brasiliensis (rubber tree). Lineage: Eukaryota; Viridiplantae; Streptophyta; Magnoliopsida; Malpighiales; Euphorbiaceae. The record is from RNAcentral.